Molecule: transfer RNA, 73 nt
Filed under: Diaphorina citri (Asian citrus psyllid)
Lineage: Eukaryota; Metazoa; Arthropoda; Insecta; Hemiptera; Psyllidae
Rfam family: tRNA
About the family: Transfer RNA (tRNA) molecules are approximately 80 nucleotides in length. Their secondary structure includes four short double-helical elements and three loops (D, anti-codon, and T loops). Further hydrogen bonds mediate the characteristic L-shaped molecular structure. tRNAs have two regions of fundamental functional importance: the anti-codon, which is responsible for specific mRNA codon recognition, and the 3' end, to which the tRNAs corresponding amino acid is attached (by aminoacyl-tRNA synthetases). tRNAs cope with the degeneracy of the genetic code in two manners: having more than one tRNA (with a specific anti-codon) for a particular amino acid; and 'wobble' base-pairing, i.e. permitting non-standard base-pairing at the 3rd anti-codon position.
Source: Rfam by way of RNAcentral
GCCUAGCUAGCUCUAAGGGUAGCGCCUUUGCCUUGCAAGCGGUAGGUUGCGGGUUCGAUUCCCGCCCGAGGCG